Molecule: long non-coding RNA, 611 nt
Organism: Humulus lupulus (European hop)
Lineage: Eukaryota; Viridiplantae; Streptophyta; Magnoliopsida; Rosales; Cannabaceae
Exons: 2
Source: RefSeq, a predicted model, not a curated record
AUUAUUUCAAUCUCACAAUCUUCUCUAAACCUAGCAGAGAGUUCUACCCUUUCUUCCUUAAGAAAAUUUGACCAGACAUAGAGAAGUCACCCUAGAAACAAGAUUAAUUUACAAAGAGAAAUAAAGUAAGUGAAAGGAAAGAAAACACACAGAAUUUUAUCGAGGUUCACCCAAGAAUGUGAUACGUCCUCAUUGAGCUGCUCCUUAGAUGGUGAGCUCAGAUUUUCAUUUAUAAGAACACGAUUACACAGAUCAAGUAAGGAUUCCAAGUCACAGAAGUACGAGAAGAACUUGGGGCUUCAACAAGUGCGAUCCUCAAGUAUAUAUAUAUAUAGGGUAGCAAUUCAAAUUAUUUGUAUCUGUGGUAAUUAGUUGAUUCUGUUAGAAGUUUAUUAGGAUCUGAGCUGAAUAAAUUUUCUUGUAACUAAUUCUUGUAAGAGAGCACGUGAGGUUUUGGCCUUCGGGCAAGAGAGUUUAAUUUUUUGUAAUUGUACUAUUGUUAACGGCUUAAGUGGAGAUUUAAACAACAAUUUCCACUUGAAUCUUCACUUGAGCUGUUAUCGACCGUGAAUAAUCCAUCUGAGGGUCUUAGCUCUAUACUGUUAUGUUCA